Long non-coding RNA from Oncorhynchus keta (chum salmon), 1003 nucleotides. RefSeq lists it as uncharacterized. The record is from RefSeq and is a predicted model, not a curated record. NCBI's taxonomy places the organism in Eukaryota, Metazoa, Chordata, Actinopteri, Salmoniformes, Salmonidae. The transcript has 3 exons.
AUGACUUGGUCUAAAAGCACUAAGAUCAGGAAUCAUACAAGCUCUCGUCUGCACAUGGAUAAAUAGUCAACCUUAACUACACGCUACAGCACUGGAGACAAACACUAUGGGGAAUUCAUGUAGCCUUCUGGCUCCUGCUUCUCUGUAGUAACAGCUGGGUUAGGAAUGUCCAAUGUUGGCAUUCAGUUGGCAUGGUUUGACGAUGGUAUUAUUGGGAGACCAUGCCGGAAAACUUUGAAUUUGAUAUUUUGCCAAGAAAUACGUUUGAAUGAAAGUAUAGCAUACUUCCAAAUAGAAUGUCCACGACACAAUGUUUUAGUUUCGAAACCGUAAUUCUGGAACGGGGUGAGUGACUGGUUGACGGGAAGUCAGGCGUAGGAGAGUAGAGAUGGGUGGUAACAGCUUUAAUAUAUACCCUGGCCCAAAGGUACAGGAGAACUUUAAUAUAUACCCUGGCCCAAAGGUACAGGAGAACUUUAAUAUAUACCCUGGCCCAAAGGUACAGGAGAGCAGAGAUGGGUGGUAACAGCUUUAAUAUAUACCCUGGCCCAAAGGUACAGGAGAACUUUAAUAUAUACCCUGGCCCAAAGGUACAGGAGAGCAGAGAUGGGUGGUAACAGCUUUAAUAUAUACCCUGGCCCAAAGGUACAGGAGAGCAGAGAUGGGUGGUAACAGCUUUAAUAUAUACCCUGGCCCAAAGGUACAGGAGAGCAGAGAUGGGUGGUAACAGCUUUAAUAUACACCCUGGCCCAAAGGUACAGGAAAGCAGAGAUGGGUGGUAACAGGAUAACUUUAAUAUAUACCCUGGCCCAAAGGUACAGGAGAACAGAGAUGGGUGGUAACAGCUUUAAUAUAUACCCUGGCCCAAAAGGCACAGGUGAGGCAGCAAAAAGCACAACCAUGGUAACAUGAACCGGAUUAAACAAAACAAACAACCCUAGGUUAUAAACAACCCUUGGUUAGAAACAACCCUAGGUUAUAAACAACCCUAGGUUAUAAACAA